Molecule: long non-coding RNA, 3337 nt
Organism: Manis pentadactyla (Chinese pangolin)
Lineage: Eukaryota; Metazoa; Chordata; Mammalia; Pholidota; Manidae
Exons: 3
Source: RefSeq, a predicted model, not a curated record
GGCUUGUGGUAAGGCCCUUCCUGGCAUCCAGAGGAUAUAGCUUUUUAAUUUUUGUGACUCAUGAGGAUUUGGAUAGAAUACAAAUGCUGAAGGAGCUCAAACUCCUUUUAAUUAAAUUAUAUGAAAACUCAAACACUGCCAUGUCCAUGGUUGUUUCAGCAACUUUGUUUGAAACUGCUUAUCAAUAACAGCUGUAAUACUGUGGCUUUUCUCCAUGGACUCAUGGUGGUCUUUGGAACAACGUUCUUCAACUUUGACAGGUGAGACAGAGGCUCUCCAGUACCACUGCUUUUGGAUGAAUCUAGCUGUGGUUGGAGAAAGUGCAUCUUGCCAAAAUAUAUGGGUGAGACCACACACAGCCUUUAAAAUAGUUAUUGUAGGCUUAUUUUUAGGGUUACAUGUCUUGACAGUUCUUUUAUUUGCAUGCCAAUUUCAUGGCUGUGUAUAGAUUUUUCAUUGGUUUCAGUAAAGGCAGUUGCAGAUUUAGGUAUCUAUUUGUUAAGCCUUGUUUAUAAUUUACCCUGGAAAAUACUCCUGAGUUGAUCUACAAUUAACAAUAUAGAAAAUAUAUUGAAAAUGAAUCAUUAGAAUACUGAUCUUCUGUUUUUGUAAAUUUGAUAGUAUUCCCAUUGGAAAUCUCAAUUUCCCAGAUGGUUUAGUAGUAAAAUACUGCUCCAAUUUGAACUUCAAAUAAAUUAGGAUAGAAUGUUAAAAUAGUCUUAUACUUUAAUUACAUUAAUAGUAAAAUAAAAGUGGUUUUUGUUAUUCAGAAGUAAAUAUUUUUAUAAUGCUGAUUAAUAAAAGCAGUGUUCAAAAUGCAGUUUUUACACUUUAGUAAAAGCUUGAAAGCAUUGAAACAAAUUACCAAGGAGGUCAAUUUCUUAAUACAUAGGCAUAAAAAUGCAAAGCCAUCUAAUCUUUUUAUGGAGUGAUUAAAAGUUUAUUCAACUUAGUAAACUAUAAAAUUGACUGUAUGUUUAGUCUUUUGAAGCUGGCUUUUUCCGUGAUCAGUAAAGACUAAAAGCCCUUUAGACUUUCAUAAAAUAUUUCUUUUUAUAAAAUGAUGUAUUUGGAUGAAUUAUUUAUGAUUCUUAUUAAGCUAUUAGUGAUAACUAUAUUAAAACUUCUUGAAUCCUGUCAAGACUUUUUAUUGGAUGAACAAUGAAUGUUGGUUAGGCUUAUAUUUAUAGAGAAUUAUAACCAGCUAAAAUAAGAUUACAGUUUCAUUCUAGAUAUUUUCAUAGGGAAAACAGAAUCUACCGAGAUAACUGGAAAUUCUGUUUCUUCUCUAAUAUUAUUGCAAUACUCUUCCAUUGUUGAAUGGGUCUGGCAGGAAAGUACUGGGGAAAUGUGUUCCUACAGUUUUUCCAGAGAACAAGUUUAUGGAAAGAAGAAAGAACACUGCAUAUACAAAAAGAUUGUUUAAAGAAAAUUUAGCCCUUGCCUUUCAGAAAUUGGUCAUGUAUGCAAGCCCUGAUUGGAUGCUAGAUUUAAAAAGGAGAGCUUUAUAAGUCAAUUUUAGGAUAUUUGAGGAAACUCAAAUAUGGAAGGGAUAUUGGUAAUACUAUGGAAUACAUUAAGUGUGAUAAUGGUAUUGCAUUUUGGAAAAUAUCUUUAUUCUUAAAAGAGGUGCAUGAUGAAUUAUUUUCAUGAAGUCAAUACCAUACUUAAACAAGUGCAUACAUAAAACAAAUGUGGCAAAAUGUUAGUUUGGUGAAUCCAGGCAAAAGAUACACAGGCAUUCAUUUUACUGCUUUUAUUAUCUUAAACAGUGAAUUCUGAAGGAUGAAGCAUUUUGUGGGAAAGGAAUAUAGGGAUUUGAUUUCAAAUUGAAAUCUGAUAUUUGGGAAAAAUUCAUUUUUUUGUAUAAGUAGUUUAAAAAAAAUAAGUGAAUAUGAACAGCACAGGCUAUAUACAUAGCAUUUUAGAUUUUACUUUAUAGUUUUUUCUAAUUUAAAUUCUAUUCACAGUAAAAGAGCAAAUUUUCACAACUUUACACAUGGCAAAUAUAAAUUAUAAAUGCUAUAAUAUUUUUGAAAAUACCAACUUUCAAAAUGUUACAGUAACACAAGUCUAUACAAAUAAGCUAGAGAAUUCUAGAGGAACAAAGCAAGCAUCUGCUAUUACUGUGUCAUUUGUUUAUUCUUACCUGGAUACUUCUAAAAUACAUGAAAUAUGUUAAAAAGUUCAUUCCUAUUAAAUACUACUGAAUUUUACUACUGCUAUAAAUAGUUUAUACUAUUAAUUACACUAUGUAAAAAAGUAUUUUAAUAAGCAGAAACCUAAAUCUCUAUAUGCACAUUAUUAAUUCUGAAUUUGUGUGUAUUAGUUAAGACCCUACCAGGUGCUUAUACAUUUUUUAUGUAAAGGGCUGGGGAGUAAGUAUUUUUGGCUUUGUGGGCCAUAGGGUCUCUGUCCACUACUCAACUCUGCUGUUAUAGUCGGAAAGCAGACAAUAAAUUAGACAAAAAGUAAAUGAAUGGGUAUGGCUCUGUUCCACUUGAACUUUAUUUACAUAUAAACAAGCUAGCCUGCCUGUUUUUCGCCCACUUCUGCCACCUAUAUUUUACGUAUAGAAAUUGGUGACCCAGUAGAUAACCUCUUUUGUAGAACAGGCAAGAAUAAUUUGAAAUAAUGAUCUUACUUUUAAUUUACAUGUUACAAUGGAAUUCUUUCUUCAAGUAUUUACAAAAUCUGAGUUUUUUUGUUUUUUGUGUUUAUUGUAUGUGAAAGAUCACAUUUAGGGCACUUCAUCACUGUCUAUUAAAUUGAGUAGUGCAAUUUUAUCCUGAUCAUAUAAUUAUUAUAUAUUAUGAAUAGUUUUACAAGGCACUUUAAAGUCCUUUUAGGGAUAAGGUUGGAAUCCAAAUAAAUAAUCUCGGUUGUAGCCUAUCCCCAAAUUAUUAUAAAUAUCAAUAUUUAAUUUAUCUACUUCUUCAUUAUUACUAACAAGAAAGAUGCUAAGAUUCCUAUACGUUUUAUCCACAGAAAUAUUUUCUUUUUCAGAAUUCACUGGGUUUAUUGUCAAAGCAUAGAUAUUUAACAGCACUAUUAACAGCUCUUAUUAUAUAUUUGAGUGAUUUUGAUGAGCUAUUUUCCUGCUGUUUCAUUUAUAUUUGAAUUUAAAUCUGACUAGAAAAAGGAAUUAAUUAUUUAUGGUAUUAAUCUCCAAAACAUUCACUGAACCCACCAUUGGACAUAAUAUCCCAAGUAAAUUAGUUUUCUGAGGAUUCACGUACAUUAGAUAGAUAAUUAUUUAUUGGAUAAUGGUGAUGGUUACAACUGAGGUGGAAAAGUAACUGUGAUAUAAUGAGUUAUAAGAAAUAUGUAUCUGGUC